This 858-nucleotide unclassified non-coding RNA is filed under the name Hevea brasiliensis (rubber tree). The record is from RNAcentral. Lineage: Eukaryota; Viridiplantae; Streptophyta; Magnoliopsida; Malpighiales; Euphorbiaceae.
ACCCGGCCUUUCUUCACUAGAAACUACAGAAAGUCACACUGAUGAGUAUUUCUUCAGUCAAAAGUAGAAACAGAAAAUAAAUGCAUGUGAAGACUAUUUCUUUUUCCUUUUUAACGAUAGAGCAGAAAUACUAUCCACAAGGCACUGCCAUUACUUGUUUGGUGCUUGAUAGAACAGCAAUCAUACUGUUGUAUAAUAGUGCCAAGUGGGGUCUAGCAUUUACAUUCCUAAUAAAAAACUUUAUGCACUGUGCAUCAAGCUGAUUACAUCUUGACUAAUUCAUAACUGCCCACAAUAAGAAUUAACUAUUAUUUAUCAUAAAAGACGACAUUUGACAAUGAUAGUAAAUGCUAAAAUUUGGAUUGAAUUGUUAUUGAGGGCCACCUCGAAACAAUUUCAGUGGCCCGUCCAUGGAUGACAAGAAACUAACACUUCUCCAUAUUCAUGCAGGUCAGGUAUCAGAAACUGUAACAGAAGCAUAAGCUUACAAUAUUUGUAGCAUUUGUUUCAGACACAUAACCAUCCUUGUCUAGCAUAAUUGCAUCACCUGCGUCUGCAUUAUUCCCUUCUAUCUGCUCCAGCCAAAUGAAAAACACAUUUUAAGCCAAGAAUCAACAGAAAUACAUAGCCAUGUCAAUUGGCUGGUCUGCUACCAUGGUAAUUAAAAUAAUAUAAACUACCCACAGAAAUUGUCCAGUUGACACAACCAAACAGAAUUUGUUAUCUUAGCCUAGUAGAAAAUAAAACCACUUCAUAUCACAUUUAAAUUUGGAAAUUACCUAUCCAGUAUGACUGUAAGAAUAAAUACGAAAACUGUGCAACAAAAUUUGCAUUAAACACAAGGGAAUAACAUAAUAU